CAAGGAAUAGUUUAUGUAGAAUUCCAGC
RNAcentral lists this transfer RNA (28 nucleotides) under Delphinus delphis (saddleback dolphin). Its description in RNAcentral is "partial tRNA-Pro". The record is from RNAcentral. Lineage: Eukaryota; Metazoa; Chordata; Mammalia; Artiodactyla; Delphinidae.